AGUGAAUCAAUUUCAGGACAUAUGGCCUUACAGACAUUAGUAAAACUCAAUGUUACUUGCACUUUUUUAAUUGAGGUCAUACAGAAUUUCAGUUAAAAUUCAGAUUAGCUCAGUUUUUGUUAUAAUGUUACAUUAAAAAUUGUUCUGCAAUAUCAACAGCUAUUUCACCAGUAAAUUCUAAGUGAUUUAGAAUUAUCAAUUGUAUAAAGUAAUUUCUGUGUUUUUAAGUAUUAUUUUGAUAUUUUAUUAUUGACAGAGAAAAAAGGUUCAAAAUCAAAUAUUUAAAACCCUUAUGUAUUCUUAUUUUACACCACUUACUGCCACAAUCUUUUGUGGAAUAUUAAUAUGAAAUAAAACAAAAACUAAAAACCUUUUCACUAGUUCCUCUAUAACUGUAUCAUAAUCUAAAGUGGUGUCGUUUUGUUGGAAGAUUGAAGCAAUUGUUUUGCAGCAUUUCCAACAGUUCAUAUUUGUUUCAUUAGAUGUGUAUAAGCUGAAAAGUGAUUUUUUACAAAGUUUUCUUCAAAUAAAAGUGGAAAUAAUUUCUUCUCAUAUAGUAUGACAAAUUAACUUUUCAGAACAUCUCUUGACUUGCCUAUAGGGGUAUGGAUGUGUAUUGGUCAAAAAUUUCUGAAAAUUGGAUACAUUUUUGAACUUGUACUGUACAUUUCACACACAAAAUAUAAGACAAAAAAUAUAGGGGAUUUUUUUUCAAUGCGACAAAACAUUAUAAACAAGAAUGUGUCCAUAGUACACGGAUGCCCCACUCGCACAAUCAUUUUCUAUGUUCAGUGGACCGUGAAAUUGGGGUCAAAACUUAAAUAUGGAAUUAAAAUUAGAAAGAUCAUAUCAUACAUGUGUACAAAAGAUGAAUGAUAAAAAUACACUAUAAUUAAAGGGAACUAUAUUCGUGGACAACGAAAAGCGGGAUCAUUAAUUGUUGUCUUUGGCCUAUUAGGGGUCAAAAACUUGACCAAUUCCAAUAAAAGUGGGCAUGAUUUAAGCUUAGUGUAUCAUGAGACAGUUAACAAAGUUUCAAAACCAUAUGAUAUAUAUAAGAAAAUGUGGCAUUUUUUAUAUCUCAACUUUGGUUGCUGAAUUGUGACGUUGAAAUAGAAUAAUUUAACUUUCAAAUUUUGGCUUCAAAAAUCCCCAAAAACACCAAAUUGCACUUUUUAAUGUCUCAAUGUAUAAGAUAUUAUCUAUUCAAAGUAAUAGAUAGCAUACUUAAUGUAUGAGACUUAUAAAAAUUUGACAAAAG
Molecule: long non-coding RNA, 1261 nt
Filed under: Mytilus galloprovincialis (Mediterranean mussel)
Lineage: Eukaryota; Metazoa; Mollusca; Bivalvia; Mytilida; Mytilidae
Source: RNAcentral